Molecule: long non-coding RNA, 866 nt
Filed under: Marmota monax (woodchuck)
Lineage: Eukaryota; Metazoa; Chordata; Mammalia; Rodentia; Sciuridae
Source: RNAcentral
AAGUGCCAGGCACAUUGGAGAGAAUGGGGUAACCCAGCCUUUGUAGUCAAUUGGCAGCAUCAGGGAGCCAGGUGGGUCCUGGCAAUGUCAACAAGGCAGAGCAAUCUGUGAGGGGCACUCCUGAGGAACCUGUCUCUGAUGACUGCAGUAGUCCGCAGUUUGGAACUGGCCUCUACUUAGGGGAGCCCAGUUCUUACCCACCAUGGUGUUCAGCUAGAAGUGCAGCUCUCGAAGAAGCCUUGGCUUGGCUGGGGAGGGCUGGUGUUCUUUCUGUGCAGAAGUGCCCCCUGCCAGAGAAUGCAUCUGAGUGCAGGCCUCUUGUGAAAGGAAAUGUGUCUUGUCUUUCUCUUGCUGAGGAUUCCCACGUGGAAGCCAUCUGUUCCCAUGCCAAGGAUCUGCCUGAAGGUGGCCCUGGUUACCUGCAGGCCAGAGAACAGGCUAGGCUACCUCUUGGCGUGGCUAGAAAGCCCUUCUCCAAGUACCAGGAAGUCUGAGAAAACCAUCCCUUUUGUAGAAACAGAAGUCUUCCUUAUCCAGGGGUGUGUUUAAAUCAUGACCUCUGUUGCUAACUGCCUGUCCAGCUCUGAGGGUUGCUGGUUAGCCUGAGCAGUCCACCCUGGCCUGUUGUCAGAGAGUGUCAGGGAUGCUAGGAUUGCCCAACGCCAGCAGGGCCCAGUCAGGAGAGGAGCCACGUGGUGCCUCGAACGGGCAGUGUAGUGCUGAGCAGUGUGGCUGUGUGGCCAGAGAGCUCUGAGCAGGGCUGCAGGCAGCUGCCACCAGAGGCCAAGGGCAAGCUGUUGCCCACUUAGAGUGGGGUCUGGGCCUGUAACUGGGGCUGCCAUCCCACAGGAAUGUAGGCAACAGAC